UCCCUGAUGACUCAGCUGGUAAAGAACCUGCCUGCAGUGUGGGAGACCCGGGUUUGAUCCCUGGUUUGGGAA
This 72-nucleotide transfer RNA is filed under the name Bos taurus (domestic cattle). It matches the Rfam family "tRNA". Rfam says of the family: Transfer RNA (tRNA) molecules are approximately 80 nucleotides in length. Their secondary structure includes four short double-helical elements and three loops (D, anti-codon, and T loops). Further hydrogen bonds mediate the characteristic L-shaped molecular structure. tRNAs have two regions of fundamental functional importance: the anti-codon, which is responsible for specific mRNA codon recognition, and the 3' end, to which the tRNAs corresponding amino acid is attached (by aminoacyl-tRNA synthetases). tRNAs cope with the degeneracy of the genetic code in two manners: having more than one tRNA (with a specific anti-codon) for a particular amino acid; and 'wobble' base-pairing, i.e. permitting non-standard base-pairing at the 3rd anti-codon position. RNAcentral also lists the same sequence under 5 other names. Lineage: Eukaryota; Metazoa; Chordata; Mammalia; Artiodactyla; Bovidae. The record is from Rfam by way of RNAcentral.